AUGGAUUUAGAUGGAUCAUGGUUGGAUUUUUCAAAGAAAAUGGGGAGUCGAAGACAACAUGGUGUUAACCACUUUGGUCCAAUCUUGAGAAAGCCAUCCAUAAGGAAGGCACCAGGCAAACUCAAGAAAAAGUGUCUUGAACAAUUGAAGAGAACUCAACAGUUGUUUAGGAGAGGUGAUGAUAAUCUUGCGAAAAGACCUCAACAAAAUAAGGUUGCAACAAAACACACACUCCGUUUUCCUUUCAAUGAGCCUAGCCAUUCUAAGCCAGUGUCUCGACCAAAUGUCUCGUCACGUUCUUCAUGGCCAAACAAAGGUAUGGCUUCUCCACGGGAAGAUGUUGAGAAGUCCAAACCCUCUUUCUCUAGGACUCUCACCCAGAAGGCUAGUCCAUCUUGCGCAAUGCAUAAUAUUGGCAUUGAUUCUCUGCCAAAGAAUACUAUCAAGUUUAGACCCUGUGGUAAUAUCUUGAGGCCAAACAAUGGUAUGGGUUCAUCGGCGAGGAAUGUGGAGUCUUACUCAAGGUUAAAUAACGUUGAAGCUCCUCGUUCAAAGAAUACCAAGAUGCCGGGAUCCUCUUACUCAAGACCCAAUGAUGAGAUGGCUCCUCAGUCAAUGAAAGCUAGGCCCUUCUCCUCUGGGUCGAAUUGUGGGUCCGGUCCUUUGGUGAGGAAGGAUGAUUCAAAUUUCACAUUUGAUAUUUCAAAGAAAUCGUACCCCUCUUCAUUGGUUUGCAACUCACGGAAAGAAGACCAUCCGAUUGUGAUGGAAGCUUCAAAUUCCAACUUAGCUUUGAAGGGUAAAAAAGUCAUGGAAGAUAUCUUGCCCAACUUGGGGAUCAAUUGUGAUUCCUUAUUACCUAGUAAGAACCUUUCAAGUCACCAAACGGUUGAGGCAUCAUGCAUGGUCAAUUCAAUCGACGGUUACAUUCAACUUGACAGUAGAAAGUGCAAGUCUAGCCUUUCGAAGGAUGGAAGAACCGAUGUGUACAAAUCUAAGAGUAAGAGGAUGGAGUCGUUGUUGGAAGAGAAGUUUGAGGCAUGUGGGGUCGCUAGAUUGACAGAAUCAAUCCCAUUAAACUUGACAAUAAGAGCACUAGCCUCGGGAAGGAUGAAAGGUCCGUUGAUGACAAGUUUAAUAAGAGGAAGAGGACUGAGAAUUGUAGUUGAAUAA
RNAcentral lists this ribosomal RNA (1173 nucleotides) under Triticum aestivum (bread wheat). RNAcentral's name for it is "partial small subunit ribosomal RNA". Lineage: Eukaryota; Viridiplantae; Streptophyta; Magnoliopsida; Poales; Poaceae. The record is from RNAcentral.